RNAcentral lists this ribosomal RNA (494 nucleotides) under Pseudoalteromonas sp. R4-Chit-T4-19. RNAcentral describes it as "bacterial SSU rRNA". It matches the Rfam family "Bacterial small subunit ribosomal RNA", at positions 13 to 502 of the family's 1533-position model. Lineage: Bacteria; Pseudomonadati; Pseudomonadota; Gammaproteobacteria; Alteromonadales; Pseudoalteromonadaceae. The record is from RNAcentral.
UUGAUCCCUGCUCAGAUUGAACGCUGGCGGCAGGCCUAACACAUGCAAGUCGAGCGGUAACAGARAGUAGCUUGCUACUUUGCUGACGAGCGGCGGACGGGUGAGUAAUGCUUGGGAACAUGCCUUGAGGUGGGGGACAACAGUUGGAAACGACUGCUAAUACCGCAUAAUGUCUACGGACCAAAGGGGGCUUCGGCUCUCGCCUUUAGAUUGGCCCAAGUGGGAUUAGCUAGUUGGUGAGGUAAUGGCUCACCAAGGCGACGAUCCCUAGCUGGUUUGAGAGGAUGAUCAGCCACACUGGGACUGAGACACGGCCCAGACUCCUACGGGAGGCAGCAGUGGGGAAUAUUGCACAAUGGGCGCAAGCCUGAUGCAGCCAUGCCGCGUGUGUGAAGAAGGCCUUCGGGUUGUAAAGCACUUUCAGUCAGGAGGAAAGGUUAGUAGUUAAUACCUGCUAGCUGUGACGUUACUGACAGAAGAAGCACCGGCUACUC